GCAGACUGCCAGUGACUGUGACCAUGACC
This 29-nucleotide non-coding RNA is filed under the name Homo sapiens (human). Lineage: Eukaryota; Metazoa; Chordata; Mammalia; Primates; Hominidae. The record is from RNAcentral.